AAUUGAAGGGGAUUACUAAAUGAUUUAGGUUUUUAUGGGGGUAAAAAAAUAAAUUUUUAUUUUAGUAAGAAAGAUGAGAAAAUUAGGGGAGUUAUAGUUAAUUAGUAUUGUGAAAGAAUUUUUUUUUUAGGGGGAAAAGAAGAAUUUUGCAUUUGUACCUUGUGUAUCAGGGUUUAUUAAUUAAGAAAAAGAUUAGGUUUUCUCGAAUUCAAAAGAGCUAGGGUCGUAUAUAUUUUAUUGUUGAAUAAAUAUUUGGAAUAUGAUUUUAGUAAUGAAACGUUAUUCGUUUUUGAUAUAUCUAGUUAUUUAAGAAAAAAAUUAAAUUUUUUUAUUUAAAAUAUUUAGUUAAUUUUUUAAUUAAAUAUUAUGAAUAAGCAAUUUUUAGGGGGAUGAGCUUUUAAAAAAAUAUAUAUAAAUUUUAAAUAUUAUAAAAAAUUAUAGGAUUAGAAGUGUCUACUUUUGUAAUAAUGUUAUAAUUAAUUUUUAGGGGAAUAAUAUUUAUAUAAUUUUUAUAUUUUUUAUUAAAUUUAGAUUUUUAAUUUUUAGUGGUAAGUAAUUAUGAUAAAAUUAGUAAUUGAUUAAUUGUUGAGUAGAGUUUAUUUAGGGGAGAUAAAUUUAAGGAACUCGGCAAAAGAUUUUCUACCUGUUUAUUAAAAACAUGGCCUUUUGUAGAAAAUUUAAGGUCUGGCCUGCCCACUGAGUAGUUUAAAGGCCGCGGUAACUUGACCGUGCUAAGGUAGCAUAAUCAUUAGUUUUUUAAUUGUAAGCUGGAAUGAAUGGUCGGAUAAGAAAAUAACUGUCUCUGAUUUAUCUUUAGUGAAUUUUAUUUUUAAGUAAAAAAGCUUAAAUUAUUUUGAAAGACGAGAAGACCCUAUAGAGUUUUAUAAUUUUUUGGUUUUAACUUUUUUGAAUUUUGACUUUGAUGCUAGAAAAUUAUUUGAUUGGGGUGAUUGAAAAAUUUAAUAAACUUUUUUUAUAUUGUUACAUUGAUUUAUGAGUUUUUGAUCCAUUAGUUAUGAUUAUAAGAUUAAAUUACCUUAGGGAUAACAGCGUAAUUUUUUUUGAGAGUUCAAAUCGAAAAAAGAGAUUGCGACCUCGAUGUUGGAUUAAAAUUAAGUUUUGGUGUAGAGGCUAAAUAGUUUAGGUCUGUUCGACCUUUAAAAUUUUACAUGAUCUGAGUUUAAACCGGUGUGAGCCAGGUUGGUUUCUAUCUUUAAAUACUUAAAAUAUUUCAGUACGAAAGGACCAAGUAUUUAUAUUACAUUAUUUUCCGUAUGAAUGCCAGUAG
Molecule: ribosomal RNA, 1288 nt
Filed under: Batocera lineolata
Lineage: Eukaryota; Metazoa; Arthropoda; Insecta; Coleoptera; Cerambycidae
Description: 16S ribosomal RNA
Rfam family: Bacterial large subunit ribosomal RNA (bases 857-1214)
Source: RNAcentral